Molecule: transfer RNA, 65 nt
Filed under: Durgades nigropicta
Lineage: Eukaryota; Metazoa; Arthropoda; Insecta; Hemiptera; Cicadellidae
Description: tRNA-Glu
Source: RNAcentral
AUUCAUAUAGUUUAUAAAUAAAACAUUUUAUUUUCAUUAAAAAAAAAGUUAAGAACUUAUGAAUU